Molecule: ribosomal RNA, 177 nt
Filed under: uncultured bacterium
Lineage: Bacteria
Description: partial 16S ribosomal RNA
Rfam family: Bacterial small subunit ribosomal RNA
Source: RNAcentral
UCAGAGUUUGAUCCUGGCUCAGUGUGAAAAACUCCGGUGGUAUAAGAUGGACCCGCGUUGGAUUAGCUUGUUGGUGGGGUAACGGCCCACCAAGGCGACGAUCCAUAGCCGGCCUGAGAGGGUGAACGGCCACAUUGGGACUGAGACACGGCCCAGACUCCUACGGGAGGCAGCAUG